CGGGGUGAGUAAUGUCUGGGAAACUGCCUGAUGGAGGGGGAUAGCUACUGGAAACGGUAGCUAAUACCGCAUAACGUCGCAAGACUAAAGAGGGGGACCUUCGGGCCUCUUGCCAUCGGAUGUGCCCAGAUGGGAUUAGCUAGUAGGUGGGGUAACGGCUCACCUAGGCGACGAUCCCUAGCUGGUCUGAGAGGAUGACCAGCCACACUGGAACUGAGACACGGUCCAG
Molecule: ribosomal RNA, 229 nt
Filed under: uncultured bacterium
Lineage: Bacteria
Description: partial 16S ribosomal RNA
Rfam family: Bacterial small subunit ribosomal RNA
Source: RNAcentral